GGGGACGUUCUUGGAUUCGACAGGGGUCCCCAGAGCUCAUGAAGCGUGUCGGAGGGUUGUCUCCGCAACAACACACUCAGUUUAUAAUAACUGGCAAAUCAAACAAUAAUUUAGCAGCAGCUGCGUAAUAGCACUCUGCAUCACCUAAUCGCAUCGCCUAUGUGCGAUUAACGUGAUUCAACCUUAGUAGGAUACGCUGAAUGGCUGCCGUUUGAAGUUCAUUCAGAAGAGACGAAUCAAACUAGUACAACGUUGGUUGUCUGUCACCGUUCGUUGUGCGAAAUUUUAAGAUAGACUACACACGUAGAAACAUUUGUAUCAGGACCUCUGGACGCGGGUUCGAAUCCCGCCGUCUCCACUA
Molecule: transfer-messenger RNA, 361 nt
Filed under: Staphylococcus massiliensis
Lineage: Bacteria; Bacillati; Bacillota; Bacilli; Caryophanales; Staphylococcaceae
Also listed under: 2 other names
Description: Standard tmRNA
Rfam family: transfer-messenger RNA
About the family: Bacterial tmRNA, also known as 10Sa RNA or SsrA, is named for its dual tRNA and mRNA-like properties. Its role is to liberate the mRNA from a stalled ribosome.
Source: RNAcentral